AUGUCGUCAUCACCGAUGCACCGGAAGCGCCCAUCCGCCGUGCGUGCGCGCGGCAGCAAGCGCCCUCGACGCACAGCCGCCGCCGCCGCCUCGGACGCGUCUGGGUGGGCGUCUCUGCACGCAGAUUUAGUUCGUCUGGUCGGGUGGAGGGUGCUGGCCGGCGACAUCCGGGACUACGUCCGAUUCCGCGCCGUCUGCCCCCACUGGCGGUCAAGCUCGUUCUCCCCGCGCGGCCGCGGCGUCGUCGACCCGCGGUUCUACCCGCGCAGGUGGAUGAUGCUGCCCGAGGGCCACGGCCUGUACCCUGGCCACGGCAGGCUGCGCGGGUACAUCCGCUUCUUCAACCUCUCCACCGGCGUCAUCGUCCGCUGCCUGCUCCCGCUUUUCAAGAACCACUGCGUCCUCGACUCCGUCGACGGUCUCCUCCUCCUGCAACGGGACGAAGACACGGCCAUCCGUCUCCUUCACCCCUUCACCGGCGACAUUGCAGACCUCCCGCCGCUCGCGACCCUCCUACGUCUUCCCGGAGCCAGCUUGACCAUCAACGAAAUGGCCCGGGCGUAUUUUAGAAACAUCGGUGCCACCUCCGUUAGUGUUAGGGCAGAUGGGGUCAUCACUGUCAUGAUUGUAAUUUAUAACAUAUCCAUGUUAGCCUUUGCUACCUCCAACUCCAAGGACCGUCAAUGGAAUGUUCCAAACUGGAAGCUCCCACCAAUUGGGAGGCUAAUAUCAUCCCAAGGCAAGCUAUACAUGAUGGACAGUCCCACAUUUGACACCGUUGUUCAUGGUGACACUCAGAUUUUCCAGAUCAGCCCGCCCGAGCACGAGGGGAUGGGAUCGGGUUCGUCUCCGAUGCCAUCAAAGAAGUUGAUUGCCACAUGCCCGGCCGGCAAAAUGCCUGCCCCUCAAUACCUGGCACAAUGUGACUCGGAGAUCCUCGUGAUUGGGUAUAAGGACGGAUUCUUUACACACCCCUUGGUUUACAGACUCUCCGACCUUGUUCUUGACAGGAUCGUCCCGGUAACUAGUAUCGAAGGCAAUGUUCUAUUCAUUGCUGAAAGGAUUCUGAGUGUGGGCCGUAGUGCCUUGCCGAACCUUGCUGGUGACUCCAUUGUAAUCGUUCAUCCCCGCGAAGUAUAUUUGGCGGAAUGCCGCCUCAAUACAGACACAUGGUUACAGGCAGCGGAUGGAUGUAUCGCGAGGUGUAAUUUAUCGAGGCCUUACAGCCUCAUUUAUCAUAUCUUCUCUUGUUGCCACCGUGCUUCUUGUAUAAGAAUCAGAAUAAUUGGAAGGUGA
This 1296-nucleotide ribosomal RNA is filed under the name Triticum aestivum (bread wheat). RNAcentral describes it as "partial small subunit ribosomal RNA". Lineage: Eukaryota; Viridiplantae; Streptophyta; Magnoliopsida; Poales; Poaceae. The record is from RNAcentral.